CUGGUGCCAGCAGCCGCGGUAAUUCCAGCUCCAAUAGCGUAUAUUAAAGUUGUUGCAGUUAAAAGCUCGUAGUUGAAUUUCGGGACUAAUAUGUCGGUCGUACUUUGUACGUACUAGCAUUAUUGGCUUCUCCCUUCUGACGAACCACGAUGUCAUUAAUUUGGUGUCGCGGGAAAUCAGGACUGUUACUUUGAAAAAAUUAGAGUGUUUAAAGCAAGCUCGCGCUUGAAUACAUUAGCAUGGAAUAAUGAAAUAGGACGUUUGAUUCUAUUUUGUUGGUUUCUAGGAUCGACGUAAUGAUUAAUAGGGAUAGUUGGGGGCAUUAGUAUUCAAUUGUCAGAGGUGAAAUUCUUGGAUUUAAUUGAAGACUAACUACUGCGAAAGCAUUUGCCAAGGAUGUUUUCAUUAAUCAAGAACGAAAGUUAGGGGGAUCGAAGACGAUCAGAUACCGUCGUAGUCUUAAACCAUAAACUAUGCCGACUAGGGAUCGGAUGAUGUUAAUUUUUAAUGACUCAUUCGGCGCCUUACG
Molecule: ribosomal RNA, 529 nt
Filed under: uncultured Glomus
Lineage: Eukaryota; Fungi; Glomeromycota; Glomeromycetes; Glomerales; Glomeraceae
Description: SSU rRNA
Rfam family: Eukaryotic small subunit ribosomal RNA
Source: RNAcentral